GCUUGUCUCAAAGAUUAAGCCAUGCAUGUCUAAGUAUAAGCCUUUACACGGUGAGACUGCGAAUGGCUCAUUAAAUCAGAAACUGUUUAUUUGAUAGUGCCUACUACUUGGAUAACCGUAGUAAUUCUAGAGCUAAUACAUGCAAAAAGCCUGGACUUCUGGAAGGGAUGCAGUUAUUAGAUACAAAACCAACCCGGGCAACCGGUCCUUUGGUGAUUCAUGAUAACUUUGCGAAUCGCAUAGCUUUAAUGCUGGCGAUGGGUCAUUCAAAUUUCUGCCCUAUCAACUUUCGACGGUAGGAUAGA
RNAcentral lists this ribosomal RNA (305 nucleotides) under uncultured fungus. RNAcentral describes it as "partial small subunit ribosomal RNA". It matches the Rfam family "Eukaryotic small subunit ribosomal RNA", at positions 30 to 337 of the family's 1831-position model. Lineage: Eukaryota; Fungi. The record is from RNAcentral.